AUGUUCUGUCCUGAGGCUUCCCUGGAAGGCGGCCAGUGGCCCACUCUGCACUUGGCAGUGGACCAGCUCCUCAGCCAGCCUUGCCUCCUAGGCCCUUGCCAAGGGCACCGCCCCAGGACCUCACUCUGCAUCAACAGCCUGAGCGCCCAGCGCGAAUGCAGCUCUGAUCCCGUCUCUCUCACUGCCCGGAUGAGGAACCAUUCCUCUGGGGCGUUGGCAGGAGGACGUGCAGUCCCUGCCGUGGCUCCCGGAAGCGUGGCUCAUUGCCAGUGCUCCAAGGGCUUUCUCUCUGCCCUGGCUCUCUCCUCUUCUUCCAAGUCUGCCCUCACCUCCUCUCUCUGGCAAUCCCACGUACUCCUGCAGGUGCCUCCUGAACCUUUCCUUGCCGGUGAAGCCUCCCCAGUGCCUGGUGCCUGUCUUCCCAGGCACGCCGCCCGGGCUGCCAGCUCGCUCCGCCUCCGUACUCACACCAGGCCACCUCAGGGUGGCUUGGCCCACAGCAGCAGGGCUGACGCCAUGAGCCCCAGCCCUGCGGAGCCCGCAGCACUCUGCCUUUCAAAUAAAUAAACCUUUAGAAAAACGAAUGAAGAAAUUAAUCCAGAGGGAAGACACAAAUAGGAGAAACUGAGGCAUUGAGCAACUAUGUGGCAUGCUGAGGGUCACAGAGCUAAGCACAGCCCUGGACCCUGUGAUGGUUCCACAGGCAGUGACACGCCCAAUAUGCAGCCAAGACACAAAGCUGCUUUGGGACAUAUAGACUUGGUGAGUAUCCCAUAAGGACAGGUGUUCCUGUGCAGUUUGUGACUGGGAGGCCUGGGGGUUGCAGCAGGAGAUGAUAAUUCUGAUUGGGAUUUCCUUGGGGUGCAGGGGUCGGGGCGGUGAGGGUGAGGGUGGCUCUUGCUCUGGCCACACCCACGUCUGAUCACCUGUCACUCACCAGGAAGCAAGCUGCCAAGCAUCCUUCUGCCUUGAAGCCAGGCCAGUGCAGCUGACCCCAGCCCCCAGAUCGGCUCUCUCUGUGAAGGCAACGAGACAGCCCCUGCCAACCUGGGAAGUCUUGGUCCUGCAAGGGCCCCGGCUCAAUCUGUGCAGAGUUGAUUUAGUGUCAGACAAGGGUGGUGGCAGCAAGUGCUUUUUCGUGUAUGAGUCUUUUAGCAUCAGGACAGAAAUACGCUGACUGCUACUGAUGAGUAUGCAUGCAUGUGUGUGUGUCAGUGCCACAGCAUGUGUGUGUGUCAGUGGAGCAGCGAUGGCAGCCACCUCGCAGGCUGGCAGUGGCUCCGGGUCUGAGCACAGUGCCUGUGCGGCAGGACUCGGGGCCCAGGAGGCCACACAGGCAAGGCUCUUUGCCAGGUUGGCUCUUCAGCCCUGGCUCUUUGAAAGCUGAGAAGUGGGGGCUCCAGGUUUUCUGCCUCCUUCCCCCUCUAGGUGCCUUUGUUUUCUCACACUCCAUCUCCUUCCUUAAACACUAUUCCAGGAACAGCCCUCAGGAAAACCAUCUUACUUAGGCCCAACAGCCUAACGACAGCUUAGGGUCUGUUCUUGCCACUAAGGAGGACUUGCACUG
Molecule: long non-coding RNA, 1567 nt
Filed under: Oryctolagus cuniculus (rabbit)
Lineage: Eukaryota; Metazoa; Chordata; Mammalia; Lagomorpha; Leporidae
Description: lncRNA (ENSOCUG00000034789.1)
Source: RNAcentral